RNAcentral lists this ribosomal RNA (230 nucleotides) under uncultured bacterium. RNAcentral describes it as "partial 16S ribosomal RNA". It matches the Rfam family "Bacterial small subunit ribosomal RNA", at positions 106 to 334 of the family's 1533-position model. The record is from RNAcentral.
CGGGAGUAACGCGUGGGUAACCGUGCCUCAUACAGGGGGAUAACAGUUGGAAACGGCUGCUAAUACCGCAUAAGCGCACAGUGCUGCAUGGCACAGUGUGAAAAACUCCGGUGGUAUGAGAUGGACUCGCGUCUGAUUAGCUAGUUGGUGGGGUAACGACCUACCAAGGCGACGAUCAGUAGCCGGCCUGAGAGGGUGAACGGCCACAUUGGGACUGAGACACGGCCCAA